Molecule: ribosomal RNA, 253 nt
Filed under: uncultured bacterium
Lineage: Bacteria
Description: partial 16S ribosomal RNA
Rfam family: Bacterial small subunit ribosomal RNA
Source: RNAcentral
UACGUAGGGGGCAAGCGUUGUCCGGAAUCAUUGGGCGUAAAGCGCGCGUAGGCGGCCCGGUAAGUCCGUUGUGAAAGUCAAAGGCUCAACCUUUGAACGCCGAUGGAUACUGCCGGGCUAGAGUCCGGAAGAGGCGAGUGGAAUUCCUGGUGUAGCGGUGAAAUGCGCAGAUAUCAGGAGGAACACCGAUUGCGAAGGCAGCGCGCUGGGACGUAACUGACGCUGAGACGCGAAAGCGUGGGGAGCAAACAGG